This 359-nucleotide ribosomal RNA is filed under the name uncultured Thauera sp. RNAcentral describes it as "bacterial SSU rRNA". It matches the Rfam family "Bacterial small subunit ribosomal RNA", at positions 1023 to 1382 of the family's 1533-position model. Lineage: Bacteria; Pseudomonadati; Pseudomonadota; Betaproteobacteria; Rhodocyclales; Zoogloeaceae. The record is from RNAcentral.
GGAACCGUGAGACAGGUGCUGCAUGGCUGUCGUCAGCUCGUGUUGUGAAAUGUUGGGUUAAGUCCCGCAACGAGCGCAACCCUUAUCCUUGUUGCCAGCGGUCCGGCCGGGAAACUCAAAGGAGACUGCCAGUGAUAAACUGGAGGAAGGUGGGGAUGACGUCAAAUCAGCACGGCCCUUAUGUCCAGGGCUACACACGUGUUACAAUGGUCGGUACAGAGGGCAGCUACCUGGUGACAGGAUGCUAAUCUCGAAAACCGGCCUCAGUUCGGAUCGAAGUCUGCAACUCGACUUCGUGAAGCUGGAUUCGCUAGUAAUCGCGCAUCAGCCAUGGCGCGGUGAAUACGUUCCCGGGCCUU